RNAcentral lists this long non-coding RNA (1114 nucleotides) under Numida meleagris (helmeted guineafowl). Its description in RNAcentral is "lncRNA (ENSNMEG00000002975.1)". Lineage: Eukaryota; Metazoa; Chordata; Aves; Galliformes; Numididae. The record is from RNAcentral.
GUCCUCCUUAUGUGAUCUCUAUGGGCCCUCCAUGGGUCCUCUCUAUGAUCCUCUCUAUGGUCUUUUGGUCCUCCCCGUGGGUCCUCCUCUCUUUAAGGUGGUCCUCCCUAUGGUCUUUCUCCGGAGACUCUAUGGUUUCUAUGGGCUCCUCCCCAUGGCUCCUCUCUAUGAUCCCUUAUGCUCCCUAUGGGUUUUCUCUGUGGGUUUCUCUGUGGUUUCUUUGGGUCCUCUCUAUGGUUUCUGUCUAUGGUCCUCCCUGUGGCUCCUCUCUAUGGUCGCUGUGCAUCCUCUCUAUGGCCUUUCUCUGGGGACUCUAUGGUUUUCUGGGGCUCCUCACUAUGGGUCCUUCCUCUGGGGACUCUGUUUUUUUCUGGGGGUCCUCCCAGUAGCUCCUCUCUAUGGUCCAUGUGGGUUCUCUCUAUCACAUCUCUCUGGGGACUCUAUGGUUUCUGUGUGGUUCUCUCUCUGGUUUUCUCUGUGGUUUCUAUUGAGUCCUCCCUCUGGGUUCUCUCUGGUCUUUCUCUGGGGACUCUAUGGUUUUCAUGGGGGUCCUCCCAGUGGCUCCUCUCUCUGAUCCCCGUGGGUUCUCUCUAUCACAUUUCUCUGGGGACUCUAUGGUUUCUAUGGGGUUCUCUAUGGCUUCUAUGGGUCCUCCCUAUGGGUCCUCUCUGGCCUCUCUCUGCAGACUCUAUGGUUUUUCUGGGGGUCCUCCCUGUGGCUCCUCUCUAUGGUCCCUGUGGUCCUCCCUGUGGCCUUUCUAUGGGGACUCUAUGGUUUUCUGGGGGUCCUCCCUAUGUGUCCUCUCUGUCCUCUCUCUGCAGACUCUAUGGUUUUUCUGGGGGUCUUCCCUAUGGGUCCUCUCUGUCUUCUCUCUGCAGUCUCUAUGGUUUUUCUGGGGGUCCUCCCUGCGACUCCUCUCUAUGCUCCUCAAUGAUUUCUAUGGGGUUUUCCAAUGCCUCCUCUCUAUGGUCCUCCCGCGCCGUCUCUAUGGUUUCCCGGUGGUGGGAAGGGGGGGGGGUCUCUAUGGUAUCUUUAAGCCCCGCCCCCCUCGCCGACGCCCCCCACCCACUUCCUCCCCUUUGCCGUAAGCCCCGCCCCUUCCGGUGGCGCAGAG